AAGCUUCUGUGUAAGAUUUAGAAUAAAAUAGCAUCCCCAAGAAGAAUAAAAAAUAAAAUUUCAUACAGAACAAAACGAUGAUGCAUAACCUGUAUCAGGAGGAAAAAAUAUUAUUAAAACGCCGGAAGAUGCUGGGUACGUGUGGUAAAUAAUCAAAGCAAAACCGGCAUGAACAACAUCAGGUUAAUCGGAAUUCGCGUGAGAGCAGAUGAGAGCCUUCCACAGCACUGUACGCGUGAGUUGUGAGACGAUCUGGCGGAAGCUUUUUUCGAUGCUAUCCCGAACGAUCCGAACGGCGCCCGAGAAGAAGCUUUCGGAAGCCGAAGAUGAGCAUUACACAUCAGGAAUCGUGGAUGCUGGAGCCUACGCAGUGAGCGUAGCCAUUCCUAACACACAACUGACACCGACCGGAGCCGUCAGUUCAACGAGAUCCUUUCGGCAGUUAGGACGCGCGGUUCUCGUCUGUUCCGAUUCUUGUGGCUCGGUGUUUGUAGUUGAAGGUUUGCUGUUUUGCUGGGAAAUUGUGUGUGAAUCGCUUCUCCCAAGCUAGUGCAAACUGUUUAUCAAAAAAAAAUUGUUUAAAGUGCAAUUGAUUUGAAUUAAAAAAAAGUUGUUUGAGUUAGUAGCUGUUUAACGAUGUGUAAGUGAAGUAAGUUAGUAUUAUAUUACAAGAAUUUGACCAAGCAAAAGAUUAUACUGGUGAAGUGCAAGUGCAUGUGAGUGUAGCAUGGAAAUCGCCAGUGUAAUGGAUAACAUGAUGAAAACCAGCAUGGGACUUCAUGAUGAUCGGUCCAGUCGAAAUAGCAACAGCAGCAGUUCCGGUUCGCCCACAGUAGUACACGAGAAAAAGAAAAUGCUGGACAUAACACGAGACCGACCCAUCAAAAUCGCAGUUCGAGUACAAGUUCCUGUUCGAGAUCAUCCAAAGUUUAACUUUGUCGGUAAACUACUUGGCCCAAAAGGAAAUUCGCUCAAACGGCUGCAGGAAGAAACGAUGUGCAAAAUGGCCGUGCUAGGCAAGGGAUCGAUGCGCGACCGAAAGAAGGAAGAGGAGCUACGACUCAGCGGUGAUCCACGGUACGCGCAUCUAUCCGAGGACCUUCACGUGGAAAUCUCGACCUACACCGCACCGGCGGAAGCACACGCCCGUAUCGCGUAUGCUCUGGCGGAAGUGCGCCGGUUUCUGGUACCGGAUUAUCAUGACGAUAUUCGGCAGGAGCAAAUGUGGGAAAUGCAGGCAUUAAAUUCACAAAACGCGACCAGUAAUCUAACCUCAGCCCACGAUAACACGCUGAACGGUGGCUGUGGCAAUGGGCUCCCUACCAAUGGCAUGAGCAUCAGCAGCAGCGGAAGCAGUUGUAGCACCGGAAGCACCGGAAGCACCACCAACGGAACCAUGCCUACUAACAACGGCCCACUCAGCAACGGUACGGGACUGAACGGUGUGGUCAGCGCUGCUCAGGUCGUCUCGAAUGGCGUGACCGGGCUCGGGACCGGAAGUAAUGCGUCGGCCACCGUUGGCGUAGGAUCGGAACUCAACAGCAACGGUAGCACGCAGCCAUCGUCCGUCGUUGCGGAACUGCAGCAUGUGACGAACUCACUCACGCAUCAUCAACACCAUCAUAAUCAGCAGCAACAACAGCAGCAGCAAACGCAGCACCAUCAGCACCAACAGUCGCAGAAUCAGUUCCUUACGAACGAUGCGGAUAUGAGCAACCUCCUGCAACCGAUGGACGUGAACAUGACGUCGGCAAAUCAUUUUGUGAACUCCUUACCUACGAGUGACCUGGAAGCGCAAACGUUGGCGUUCGUCGAAUCGGCCAAUGCAUUCCUGCAUCCGGCAUUGCGCGGCGUGAAAGCCGUCAGCUUAGCACGUAAGCGGCCCCUGCUAGGCGGACCACGAUCGACCAUGAACCCCACCAAGCGCACCGUGAUGACGCUGAUUGCACGUGCCCGUACGGCCCAAGCCCUGCACGGUUCCCGAACGGCUCAACCGAUUGGCGAACCGAUACAGGUGAUCACUUCGCCGCUCAUUCUACAACCACCGUUGGAUUUACUGCAGCCAAAUGCGAGCGCUGGCGUGGCGAAAGAAAACAUUCUGCAGGGUGCUUAAAAGAGCCACAAAACGCACGGCUACUAAAGCAAGCACUAGAAGCACUGGCGAAGCGUCUAACAAAAGGUGUGUUUGUGUGCGUGUCUGUGGAAACUUAAACUUUUUAUGAUGGGUCAUGCACAAUCAACACGUUAUGCCUCAUCAAUCAAUUGAUAUGAAGGAAAACGGGCAUCGGAUGUGUGUGAAAACUUUGUUUUGGUUAGGGAAACCCUUCGUCAGUCGAUAUACUAAGUAAAGUUCAUCAGAACUUCACUUACAAAUACUUUCAUCAUAGUAAAGAAAAAAUGCAUUAGAACAGCUUGUAAUACCUCUUGGGCAAGAAGUUUCUACUAACCAGGCAAGAGUAGGUUCUAAAACCCCCAUCAACCAAUGCUCAGCAUCAUCAACUAUGGCAAACCCGCCCCGAUAUCCUACAAAGCAUUGCCACCAUCCAGGAAUAUUUGUACCAGAUCGACGACACAGCGGUUUCACAUUAUGCAUACACACUCACAACCAUGUUAAACCAGAUGACAAACCGUAAGUAAAAUGGAGAAAAAAUAUAUAUAAAACAAACAUCACAAAAAUCCAGACUGCACAUUGCUGCGGCAUUAAUCAUGUUGAACGACGAUUAUGUUAGUUUCUAGAGCGAAAAUUUGUGCUACCGUAUAAAUACGCAAUUGAGUACGGUUCAGAGCGCAUUAUGAUAAACAAAGAGGAAAAGCAAAGAGACAAAAUUUAUAUACAGAUAAUUUAUAUUUGAAUAUAAAGAAAAAUCCCCUUAAGCAUCAAAUAAUGAAUUGCCAUGAUACACCAUGCAGCUACUGAUUUAAAAACAACGACAAAUACAAGCAAGAGAUUAUAGUAACUAAACUUUUAUUCAACGAUAUGCUCCAUAUAAUGCACAAAGAAGUAAGUUUUAAAACGAUUCAACUAACAAAAACACUACAUUGAAUCCCCGUUGCCCAACCGAGCGCGUUUCAAGUGAUACAUAUUUAUAUAAAUUUUGUUGUGAAUAUUGUUCGUUACACUGAUAAUGUUAUCACUCUGAACCCACGUAUCAUGCCCGUUGACACAUUUUUUACGGCUUAGAGUUUUUGUAUGAAAUAUUUUACACACUAAACAUAAACAUGCACUAAUCAAAACCAAAUUUAACCCAAGCGGCAGUUUGUGAAACAUGAGAAUUGUCUCCAAAGACUAAUGGAUGAAACAAGAACGAAUAAAGGAAUAUCGAAACACUUGUUUAUAACUACCACAUUUAUGCAAAUAAAAAUGCCACAGAAAGAUUAAUUAAAAAAUGAAAAAUUCAAUUUUAGAAUUUAUUAUUUGUAUCUAUAUUUCAAACCAGCAUUUAAACCAUCGAAUAGUUAUCGAAAAUUGCUUUAUUUAAUAAAAACUGCUUUUCUUAUUUAUUUUUUUUUUACUUGCAUCGUUCCUAAGCAGUCUUAGUUCUGAUUGCAGUAGAUUUCCAGAAUGUUUUACUAUGAAUUAAAAAAACAUUUUAAUUCAAUAGUUUAAGCUUCUGUUUGGUAUACGACAUAAUCACACAGCGUGGUGGUAUUUAUAAAAACGAUUGCUAACACAACAUCUCACACAAACAUAGCUUCCCGAGGAGGGUGCUUUUGCAUAAAACAUCUUAAAAUUGCACAUGAUUAACACAAAACUCUUUAAAAAAACGAAUGUUCUCUAGAUGCUUACGUAAUUGAAACCGUUUUGAAAGACACUUGUAAACACACUAAUAUGUAAAAGAAGUACUUUAACUGAUGUCUCCCUAAACAAAAUAUACGUGUUAUCGAUGGAACUGUCGUAGUAAUCAUACUAAAUCCACAUGGAAUUGCAUGCAUGCCUGUUGUUUAAAAUCUAUCUUUAAUAAACCCAGUCGAUAAAUCGUAGAACGUGAAGCUAUUAAACAAGCUAAUAAGCAGUUAAAAAGCCGAUGUUUGGUAAAGAAAAUAAAGUGUGUCGUACAGUGAAAAUUCAGAAAACUCCUGAACAGGUAGAAAUUACUUUAAACAAUUGAAUAAAUCUCUCAAUGUCGCAACGAUAAACCAAAGAAUAAACUAAAUUUAUGAUAAACUUAUGGAAAAUGCAGCGCGCUCACAUAAAACAAUGCAUCAAUCGCCAAGAUUACAAAACCACAACUUAAAGAUAAGAUACUCAUACGAGAACGGGCAAAUAUUGCACCAGCAAUGAAACCAUUAAACCAUGAACCGAUGGAACUAAAUCGUUAAGGUAAACAAGAUGCGAAUAACUCAACAUUUCCAAUUGCAGAGUUUAAACUAGCCGAAUAAAUAUUUAAAUUUAAAUGUCAAUUAUCGCUAAGCAAAUGCAACAGUGUCCUAAUACCGUCGUCAUGCAACGAUCCACACCACGGUUGCGGUGUGUAACAACUGAAACAGCAAAUGACCGUAGCUUAAUCAGAUGCAAGCAACCAAGCAUAGGGUGCACUUUUCAUACCAAUGCACUUGCACAAUUAAACUAGAAAACUGCAUGCCACCAGGACAGGUUAAUCCCGGACAGUCCCGGGAGCGAGCACCAAAACUGGACGAUAAAGCUAAGCAUGGUUCAAAGCAAAACCUGAAGCAAGCAUUUAAGAUUUAACAAAAGCAACACAAAUAAAAUAGAAUUCUCAAUAUGUGUAUGUGUGAGUGUACGUGUACGUGUAUGUGUACUACAUGUAAGCAUUAAAAUAAAAAGCUCCUAUUGUGGCAAAGACGGUCGUUUAGAAAACCACAAAACACAAAACGAUUAUUACAACAAAAAACGCUAAACAAAUUCAACCCACUAAAGGACAUCGUGCAAUGGAGAAAGAAAGUUCAUAAACUAAAUUAAAAAAAAAACACAAAAAACACACACGGUUGGACCGGUUAAGAUAUGCCCAAAUCAUGUGCGUCAAGCUUUCAGUAUGUUCUUAUUGGAUACAAAUGUUGAUACAAUUUUUGGAUGGUUUUUUAUGGAAAGAAGGGCGAGAAAUGCAUCUGAAGUUGGUUGCAUUUCCUGCGAGGAAAGAAGCCCGUCGUUGAAGUGUGGAGUGAAAGCAUUUAAAAGGUUUUAUUUUCUUAAUUAUUCAGCAACAAAAAAAACACUAAAUUUCAAUGCUGAUUUCCAGCCAUUGAAACAAACGUGUGUUCCCAACUUCUAAGAGGAAUCAGUAUAGAGAGACAGAGAGAAAAAGGAGAAGAGAGAAGUAGAAAGUGAGUAUGGAAAUUUCAAGGUUUAGAGUAGGUCUGCAAUACAUGAAUCUGUUCUGUGCGCAAGAUGCUGAAGAUGUGAACCAUGCGCCAAAACCCCAAUGUAUGCUUAUACCAAUGAAUGAGGAAGGAAGUGAAUUUUCCCAAAAAUAAAUUAAGCACUUUUGGAAUGAGAAAAGUAAGCAGCAA
Anopheles funestus (African malaria mosquito) is the source of this 5469-nucleotide RNA transcript. It is a transcript of the gene named KH domain-containing, RNA-binding, signal transduction-associated protein 2-like, with no coding region annotated. The transcript has 13 exons. The record is from RefSeq and is a predicted model, not a curated record. NCBI's taxonomy places the organism in Eukaryota, Metazoa, Arthropoda, Insecta, Diptera, Culicidae.